CCUACGGGAGGCUGCAGUGAGGAAUAUUGGUCAAUGGACGAGAGUCUGAACCAGCCAAGUAGCGUGAAGGAUGACUGCCCUAUGGGUUGUAAACUUCUUUUAUAUGGGAAUAAAAUGUUCCACGUGUGGGAUUUUGUAUGUACCAUAUGAAUAAGGAUCGGCUAACUCCGUGCCAGCAGCCGCGGUAAUACGGAGGAUCCGAGCGUUAUCCGGAUUUAUUGGGUUUAAAGGGAGCGUAGGUGGAUUGUUAAGUCAGUUGUGAAAGUUUGCGGCUCAACCGUAAAAUUGCAGUUGAAACUGGCAGUCUUGAGUACAGUAGAGGUGGGCGGAAUUCGUGGUGUAGCGGUGAAAUGCUUAGAUAUCACGAAGAACUCCGAUUGCGAAGGCAGUUCACUGGACUGCAACUGACACUGAGGCUCGAAAGUGUGGGUAUCAAACAGGAUUAGAUACCCUUGUAUGUC
RNAcentral lists this ribosomal RNA (461 nucleotides) under uncultured bacterium. RNAcentral's name for it is "partial 16S ribosomal RNA". It matches the Rfam family "Bacterial small subunit ribosomal RNA", at positions 338 to 795 of the family's 1533-position model. The record is from RNAcentral.